UAUUAGUUUUGGUAUUUUGUUGUGAUAUUGUUGAUCUCUCUUCACAUUAUGAGUUUUGCUUGUCUCUUUGAUAUCUGUUACAUAGAGGGGUGUAGUCCAUUCUCCUACUUUGACAUAGUUUGGUACAUUAGAAAAGAUUCUAAACACAAAAAUAAUAAUCUUCUGAAAAAUAAGAUAGGAAUGGUGUUUGGUUAUGAAACUUAAACAUAAGUUACAUAAGCAACAGAAAAUUGGUUACUAAGCAACAGAACAUAAGUUACUAAGCAACAGAAUAUAGGUUACGAAGCAACAGAACAUAGGUUACUAAGC
This 309-nucleotide long non-coding RNA is filed under the name Mytilus galloprovincialis (Mediterranean mussel). The record is from RNAcentral. Lineage: Eukaryota; Metazoa; Mollusca; Bivalvia; Mytilida; Mytilidae.